This 58-nucleotide microRNA precursor is filed under the name Ascaris suum (pig roundworm). Its description in RNAcentral is "Asu-Mir-29-P1_pre stem-loop". It matches the Rfam family "mir-83 microRNA precursor family", at positions 12 to 76 of the family's 84-position model. The record is from RNAcentral. Lineage: Eukaryota; Metazoa; Nematoda; Chromadorea; Rhabditida; Ascarididae.
CCUGAAUUUGUUUGUGUGCUGGACAGAACCCAUCUCUAGCACCAUUUAAAUUCAGCAU